Molecule: ribosomal RNA, 484 nt
Filed under: uncultured bacterium
Lineage: Bacteria
Description: partial 16S ribosomal RNA
Rfam family: Bacterial small subunit ribosomal RNA
Source: RNAcentral
AUUGAACGCUGGCGGCAUGCUUUACACAUGCAAGUCGAACGGCAGCGCGGGCUUCGGCCUGGCGGCGAGUGGCGAACGGGUGAGUAAUACAUCGGAACGUGCCCAGUAGUGGGGGAUAGCUCGGCGAAAGCCGGAUUAAUACCGCAUACGACCUGAGGGUGAAAGCGGGGGAUCUUCGGACCUCGCGCUAUUGGAGCGGCCGAUGGCAGAUUAGCUAGUUGGUGGGGUAAAGGCCUACCAAGGCGACGAUCUGUAGCUGGUCUGAGAGGACGACCAGCCACACUGGGACUGAGACACGGCCCAGACGCCUACGGGAGGCAGCAGUGGGGAAUUUUGGACAAUGGGCGAAAGCCCGAUCCAGCAAUGCCGCGUGUGUGAUGAAGGCCUUCGGGUUGUAAAGCACUUUUGGCGGGAACGAAAAGGACUGUGCCAAUACCACGGUUCGAUGACGGUACCCGCAGAAUAAGCACCGGCUAACUACGUG